CUGGCUUCCACUCCUAAUAGUUCUAAUAACUACCAUCAAUUAUCUUCCUACUACACACGUAUACAAACAUUAUCAUUCUGUAGUUGUCAAAAUUGAUAAUUAUGCUUCAUUGGUCUUCGACUUAUUCUAGCGUGUCUUACACUAGCCAUCCAUUGUAUUAGGCUUUUGAAAAGUCUUCUAACAUUGGGGAUAUCUGAAUAUCAGCAUUG
RNAcentral lists this long non-coding RNA (209 nucleotides) under Elaeis guineensis (African oil palm). RNAcentral's name for it is "long non-coding RNA (EGUI_LNC025327)". Lineage: Eukaryota; Viridiplantae; Streptophyta; Magnoliopsida; Arecales; Arecaceae. The record is from RNAcentral.